GUCGACGCCCGGCUCGCUUGCCGCGACGAGCUUGGCCUUGAUCUCGGUC
This 49-nucleotide small RNA is filed under the name Sinorhizobium meliloti 2011. RNAcentral describes it as "putative ncRNA". Lineage: Bacteria; Pseudomonadati; Pseudomonadota; Alphaproteobacteria; Hyphomicrobiales; Rhizobiaceae. The record is from RNAcentral.